RNAcentral lists this ribosomal RNA (253 nucleotides) under uncultured prokaryote. Its description in RNAcentral is "partial 16S ribosomal RNA". It matches the Rfam family "Bacterial small subunit ribosomal RNA", at positions 524 to 776 of the family's 1533-position model. The record is from RNAcentral.
UACGUAGGCAGCAAGCGUUGUUCGGAGUUACUGGGCGUAAAGGGUGCGUAGGCGGCUAUUUAAGUUUGGUGUGAAAUCUCCCGGCUCAACUGGGAGGGUGCGCCGAAUACUGAGUGGCUAGAGUGUGGGAGAGGAAAGUGGAAUUCCUGGUGUAGCGGUGAAAUGCGUAGAUAUCAGGAGGAACACCUGUGGUGUAGACAGCUUACUGGACCACUUCUGACGCUGAGACACGAAAGCGUGGGUAGCAAACAGG